RNAcentral lists this ribosomal RNA (479 nucleotides) under uncultured bacterium. RNAcentral's name for it is "partial 16S ribosomal RNA". It matches the Rfam family "Bacterial small subunit ribosomal RNA", at positions 28 to 507 of the family's 1533-position model. The record is from RNAcentral.
GAUGAACGCUAGCGGGAGGCCUAACACAUGCAAGCCGAGCGGUAUUUGUUCUUCGGAACAGAGAGAGCGGCGCACGGGUGCGGAACACGUGUGCAACCUGCCUUUAUCUGGGGGAUAGCCUUUCGAAAGGAAGAUUAAUACCCCAUAAUAUAUUGAGUGGCAUCCUUUGAUAUUGAAAACUCCGGUGGAUAGAGAUGGGCACGCGCAAGAUUAGAUAGUUGGUGAGGUAACGGCUCACCAAGUCAAUGAUCUUUAGGGGGCCUGAGAGGGUGAUCCACCACACUGGUACUGAGACACGGACCAGACUCCUACGGGAGGCAGCAGUGAGGAAUAUUGGACAAUGGGUUAGCGCCUGAUCCAGCCAUCCCGCGUGAAGGACGACGGCCCUAUGGGUUGUAAACUUCUUUUGUAUAGGGAUAAACCUACUCUCGUGAGAGUAGCUGAAGGUACUAUACGAAUAAGCACCGGCUAACUCCGUG